This 301-nucleotide ribosomal RNA is filed under the name uncultured bacterium. RNAcentral's name for it is "partial 16S ribosomal RNA". It matches the Rfam family "Bacterial small subunit ribosomal RNA", at positions 509 to 807 of the family's 1533-position model. The record is from RNAcentral.
CAGUAGCCGCGGUAAAACGAAGGGGGCUAGCGUUGCUCGGAAUGACUGGGCGUAAAGGGCGCGUAGGCGGUCACGAUAGUCAGAUGUGAAAUUCCUGGGCUUAACCUGGGGACUGCAUUUGAUACUGUGUGGCUUGAGUGUGGAAGAGGGUCGUGGAAUUCCCAGUGUAGAGGUGAAAUUCGUAGAUAUUGGGAAGAGCACCGGUGGCGAAGGCGGCGACCUGGUCCAUAACUGACGCUGAGGCGCGAAAGCGUGGGGAGCGAACAGGAUUAGAUACCCGCGUAGUCCCUGUCUCUUAUAC